This 505-nucleotide ribosomal RNA is filed under the name uncultured bacterium. RNAcentral's name for it is "partial 16S ribosomal RNA". It matches the Rfam family "Bacterial small subunit ribosomal RNA", at positions 899 to 1397 of the family's 1533-position model. The record is from RNAcentral.
ACUCAAAGGAAUUGACGGGGGCUCACACAAGCGGUGGAGCAUGUGGCUUAAUUCGAGGCUACGCGCAGAACCUUAUCCCGGGCUUGACAUGCACGGAUUACUCGGCGGAAACGUCGAGGAGGCCGCAAGGUACAACGUGCACAGGUGCUGCAUGGCUGUCGUCAGCUCGUGCCGUGAGGUGUUGGGUUAAGUCCCGUAACGAGCGAAACCCCUGCGUCCAGUUGCCAGCGCGUCAUGGCGGGGACUCUGGACGGACCGCCGGCGUCAAGCCGGAGGAAGGCGGGGACGACGUCAAGUCCUCAUGGCCCUUAUGCCCGGGGCUGCACACGUGCUACAAUGGGGCGGACAGAGCGCCGCAAGGCCGCAAGGCCGAGCCAAUCGCAAAAACCGCCCCCCAGUUCGGAUUGCGGGCUGCAACCCGCCCGCAUGAAGCCGGAAUCGCUAGUAAUCGCCGAUCAGCACUGCGGCGGUGAAUGGGUUCCUGAGCCUUGUACACACCGCCCGU